Molecule: non-coding RNA, 72 nt
Organism: Phrynosoma platyrhinos (Desert horned lizard)
Lineage: Eukaryota; Metazoa; Chordata; Lepidosauria; Squamata; Phrynosomatidae
Source: the annotation of a GenBank genome assembly
GCUAGUGUGGUGCACUGGUCUGAUCUUUGGACUACAAUUCUGGAGAUCAGGGUUCGAUUCCCCGCUCAACCA